This 750-nucleotide long non-coding RNA is filed under the name Gallus gallus (chicken). RNAcentral's name for it is "lncRNA (ENSGALG00010022884.1)". Lineage: Eukaryota; Metazoa; Chordata; Aves; Galliformes; Phasianidae. The record is from RNAcentral.
GGAAAAGCCACAGCUGGAUGUGCCCACUUCACCUCUGGCUCCUUUCUCAGGCAUGCUGCUGACAUUAGGAAGGAUGCAAUGCUCAUUGUCCGAGAUGAAUGGCUAUGUCUCAUAGCUAUCUGUCUGAGUCUCUCAGACUACAAAGGAAUCUGGAAGGAUUUGAUAGCUGAGGCUUUUCUUGUCGCAAGAACAAAGGCUUUGGAGGCAAUCUGAAGAACAUGGGCUUUCAGUGCCAGGGAUGGCAUGGACAACUGUGAGACUGUGAUCAUAGAAUCAGUGCUGUGUAUGGAAUUAAAGAAUAACAGGAGCUGGCAGAAAGGUGCGUGGGCUCAUGUCCCAGGCCUAUGCAGUGCUGGACCUUGGUGACUGUGGAAGGAUGUGACUGUGGAAGGAUGGAGCAGAGCAGUGCUGACCCCAUUGCAGGGACAACACUGUAUCUCUGGGGCUCUUUGGCGUUGGUUCCCUCUCACCAAGCACGGGUCCGUAUUGUGGAGACAAUGAAGAUAGAAGCAAAGGGUGAACGUGGAGACCAACUUCUCCCAUUUCAGGUUGUGCCUUCCAGUAAUUUUCAUAGAAUCACAGAAUGGUUUGAGUUGGAAGGGACCUCUGAAUGCCGUCUGGUCCCACUGCCUGCACUGAGCAGGGACACCCACAGCUCCAUCAGUGCUCAGAGCCCCAUCCAGCCUGACUGUGGGUGUGUGCAGGGAUGGGGCACCGCUACCUCUCUGGGCACCCCGUGCCAUUCCUCAC